This 253-nucleotide unclassified non-coding RNA is filed under the name uncultured Propionibacteriaceae bacterium. Its description in RNAcentral is "contains 16S-23S intergenic spacer region". It matches the Rfam family "Bacterial small subunit ribosomal RNA", at positions 524 to 776 of the family's 1533-position model. The record is from RNAcentral. Lineage: Bacteria; Bacillati; Actinomycetota; Actinomycetes; Propionibacteriales; Propionibacteriaceae.
GACGUAGGGCGCGAGCGUUAAUCGGAAUUACUGGGCGUAAAGGGCUCGUAGGCGGUUUGUUGCGUCUGCUGUGAAAGCCCGGGGCUUAACCCCGGGUCUGCAGUGGAUACGGGCAGGCUAGAGUCCGGCAGGGGAGACUGGAAUUCCUGGUGUAGCGGUGGAAUGCGCAGAUAUCAGGAGGAACACCGGUGGCGAAGGCGGGUCUCUGGGCCGGUACUGACGCUGAGGAGCGAAAGCGUGGGGAGCGAACAGG